RNAcentral lists this ribosomal RNA (240 nucleotides) under uncultured bacterium. Its description in RNAcentral is "partial 16S ribosomal RNA". It matches the Rfam family "Bacterial small subunit ribosomal RNA", at positions 96 to 334 of the family's 1533-position model. The record is from RNAcentral.
UGGCGAACGGGUGAGUAACGCGUGAGGAACCUGCCUCAAAGAGGGGGACAACAGUUGGAAACGACUGCUAAUACCGCAUAAGCCCACGGGUCGGCAUCGACCCGAGGGAAAAGGAGCAAUCCGCUUUGAGAUGGCCUCGCGUCCGAUUAGCUAGUUGGUGAGGUAACGGCCCACCAAGGCGACGAUCGGUAGCCGGACUGAGAGGUUGAACGGCCACAUUGGGACUGAGACACGGCCCAG